CAUAAGCCUGGCAGCCUGGGGAUUGUAUCCGUGCAGUGCAGAGAUCACCUCCUACCUGAGAGCGCUGAAGCAGAGAGACCCACACAGCAAGGUGCUCGUGGAAGUGUGCUGUGGAAGUUUAACUACAGUUUCAAGCAGGCUGUGAGAUAAAAAAGGUUGGAAAACACUGCUCUGAGGCCUCCAGAGAGAGCGUGGCCUUACUCAGGCCUUCAUUUCAGAUUUCUGGUCUCCAUAACGGUGAGAGAAUAAAUUACUGCUGUUUCAAGCCACCAGGAAAGAAGACAUACAAACCACAAGGAAAGCAUUGAGAAAUCUGACCACAUACGAAAAAAACAACCGUGUUAGAAAAGGUACUGGGAACAAAGUUAAAAUAAAUGACACAAAAAAGGAGAAAUAAUUUGUGACUUGACUCCAGGUUAUUUAAAGAGCACGAAAAUUGACAAAGUCUAUAAGCAGGCAUUUUACAAAAGAGGAAUGACCCCAAACAUAUAAAAAGAUGCUUCGCAUCAUUAACAGUCAGAUAACUGCAAAGUAAAACCAUAACCAUGUGUCAAGUCUUACCCAUCUGAAAGGCAAACAUGGAAGGGUCUGGUAUUGCAAAGUGAGGAGGAGGAGGAAGAUGUGGGACAAGGAAACGCAUAUACUCUGCUAAGUGGAAAUCAGAGAUGCUUUGACCUUUUGGGAUGGUCAUUUGGCAUCAUCUGGUAAAGUUACAGAUGUGCGGAUCACGCUACUCAGCAAUUCCACUUCCCGGGAAGCUCUGGCACCUGUGCACAGUGGGCAUGGCCAAGGACGACCUUGUGCAAUGAGGUAUAUAACAAGAGAGGCCAGAGCAAACAUUCACCUAUGGAGGCCUAAGAAAAAUAAAUGCGGAUGUAUUCAAAAAGCCGAUCUAUAACAUGAUAAUGAAAAACUGUAGGGUAAAUAUCGAAAAUAUGUUACAUGGCCAAAAAAUUGUGACAGGGUACUCAUAAGGCAAACAGAAGAAUAUGUAAGGAAUUCCCUGAUUUUCCAGCUCCUGGAGGCUCCCCCGCUCUACCUCCUUCAGCCAUCCUACCAGCAAUCACCUCCCUGUCCUGGGUUUUAGCCAUCCCGCCUUCCUCCUGACUGCCUCUCCUGCGUCCCUCCUUCCCUACAAGGACUCUGGAGAUUGCACUGGCCCACCUGCAUAAUCCAGAACAAUCUCCCAUCGAAGAUCAUUAACUUAAUCACAUCUGCAAAGUCUCUUUUUCCAGAUAAGGUAACAUAGUCACAGUUUCUGGGAAUUAGGAUGUGGACAUCUUUGGGGGCCCGUUAUUCUGCCUACCACACCUGGUUUCCACAUAGUAAUAAAACUCUCUGGAACUCAGCAGCACUUAAACAAAAUAAAAGGGGGUGAUACAUUAAUGAUUAGAGCAACAGCUAGUAAAUCAUAGCAUGUUACAGCUGGAAGAGACUUGGCAGGCCACUCCUGCUGUACCGAUGUGGAUCCUGAGGUCCAGCAGAGGAAAUCCAUCAUCUGGGGUGAACCGUCAGGUGGCAGCAGCUCCAGCUCUGGCCGGCUCCCUGUUCAGGUCAUCAGGAAUAUCUGCACUGAUUCUUAGAGUUCAGCAAAAGACCACUUAUCUGUUUUAUGGA
Nycticebus coucang (slow loris) is the source of this 1617-nucleotide long non-coding RNA. RefSeq lists it as uncharacterized. The record is from RefSeq and is a predicted model, not a curated record. The transcript is spliced from 4 exons. NCBI's taxonomy places the organism in Eukaryota, Metazoa, Chordata, Mammalia, Primates, Lorisidae.